UAGGGAAUCUUCGGCAAUGGACGAAAGUCUGACCGAGCAACGCCGCGUGAGUGAAGAAGGUUUUCGGAUCGUAAAGCUCUGUUGUAAGAGAAGAACGGGUGUGAGAGUGAAAAGUUCACACUGUGACGGUAUCUUACCAGAAAGGGACGGCUAACUACGUGCCAGCAGCCGCGGUAAUACGUAGGUCCCGAGCGUUGUCCGGAUUUAUUGGGCGUAAAGCGAGCGCAGGCGGUUAGAUAAGUCUGAAGUUAAAGGCUGUGGCUUAACCAUAGUACGCUUUGGAAACUGUUUAACUUGAGUGCAGAAGGGGAGAGUGGAAUUCCAUGUGUAGCGGUGAAAUGCGUAGAUAUAUGGAGGAACACCGGUGGCGAAAGCGGCUCUCUGGUCUGUAACUGACGCUGAGGCUCGAAAGCGUGGGGAGCGAACAGGAUUAGAUACCCUGGUAGUCCACGCCGUAAACGAUGAGUGCUAGGUGUUAGGCCCUUUCCGGGGCUUAGUGCCGCAGCUAACGCAUUAAGCACUCCGCCUGGGGAGUACGACCGCAAGGUU
RNAcentral lists this ribosomal RNA (549 nucleotides) under uncultured bacterium. RNAcentral's name for it is "bacterial SSU rRNA". It matches the Rfam family "Bacterial small subunit ribosomal RNA", at positions 355 to 895 of the family's 1533-position model. The record is from RNAcentral.